AUUGAACGCUGGCGGCAGGCCUAACACAUGCAAGUCGAGCGGAUGAAGGGGGCUUGCUCCUGGAUUCAGCGGCGGACGGGUGAGUAAUGCCUAGGAAUCUGCCUGGUAGUGGGGGAUAACGUCCGGAAACGGGCGCUAAUACCGCAUACGUCCUGAGGGAGAAAGUGGGGGAUCUUCGGACCUCACGCUAUCAGAUGAGCCUAGGUCGGAUUAGCUAGUUGGUGGGGUAAAGGCCUACCAAGGCGACGAUCUGUAACUGGUCUGAGAGGAUGAUCAGUCACACUGGAACUGAGACACGGUCCAGACUCCUACGGGAGGCAGCAGUGGGGAAUAUUGGACAAUGGGCGAAAGCCUGAUCCAGCCAUGCCGCGUGUGUGAAGAAGGUCUUCGGAUUGUAAAGCACUUUAAGUUGGGAGGAAGGGCAGUAAGUUAAUACCUUGCUGUUUUGACGUUACCAACAGAAUAAGCACCGGCUAACUUCGUG
Molecule: ribosomal RNA, 484 nt
Filed under: uncultured bacterium
Lineage: Bacteria
Description: partial 16S ribosomal RNA
Rfam family: Bacterial small subunit ribosomal RNA
Source: RNAcentral